Molecule: non-coding RNA, 29 nt
Filed under: Mus musculus (house mouse)
Lineage: Eukaryota; Metazoa; Chordata; Mammalia; Rodentia; Muridae
Source: RNAcentral
UACCACUUGUUACAUCUGUGUGAGAAUGG